UCAUAAAAGUCGUAACAAGGUCUCCGUUGGUGAACCAGCGGAGGGAUCAUUA
RNAcentral lists this ribosomal RNA (52 nucleotides) under Cordyceps militaris. RNAcentral's name for it is "partial 18S ribosomal RNA". It matches the Rfam family "Eukaryotic small subunit ribosomal RNA", at positions 1780 to 1831 of the family's 1831-position model. The record is from RNAcentral. Lineage: Eukaryota; Fungi; Ascomycota; Sordariomycetes; Hypocreales; Cordycipitaceae.